UAAAAGAUAAGCUAAUUCAAGCUAAUGGGCUCAUACCCCGUCUAUGACAGUUAAAUCUUUCUCUUUUUA
RNAcentral lists this transfer RNA (69 nucleotides) under Latreillia valida. Its description in RNAcentral is "tRNA-Met". The record is from RNAcentral. Lineage: Eukaryota; Metazoa; Arthropoda; Malacostraca; Decapoda; Latreilliidae.